This 484-nucleotide ribosomal RNA is filed under the name uncultured bacterium. RNAcentral describes it as "partial 16S ribosomal RNA". It matches the Rfam family "Bacterial small subunit ribosomal RNA", at positions 28 to 523 of the family's 1533-position model. The record is from RNAcentral.
GACGAACGCUGGCGGCGUGCUUAACACAUGCAAGUCGAACGAUGAAGCUGUAGCUUGCUCCGGUGGAUUAGUGGCGAACGGGUGAGUAACACGUGAGCAAUCUGCCCUUGACUCUGGAGUAACUACGGGAAACUGUAGCUAAUACCGGAUACUUUCACUGGAAGGCAUCUUCUGGUGAAGAAAGAAUUUCGGUCAAGGAUGAGCUCGCGGCCUAUCAGCUUGUUGGUGAGGUAACGGCUCACCAAGGCGACGACGGGUGGCCGGCCUGAGAGGGUGACCGGCCACACUGGGACUGAGACACGGCCCAGACUCCUACGGGAGGCAGCAGUGGGGAAUAUUGCACAAUGGGCGCAAGCCUGAUGCAGCAACGCCGCGUGAGGGAUGAAGGCCUUCGGGUUGUAAACCUCUUUUAGCAGGGAAGAAGCGAAAGUGACGGUACCUGCAGAAAAAGCACCGGCUAACUACGUGCCAGCCGCCGCCGUAA